UAUCUUGAGAGUUUGAUCCUGGCUCAGGACGAACGCUGGCGGCGUGCUUAACACAUGCAAGUCGAGCGGAGGCAGCACUUAACACUGAGUGCUUAGUGGUGAGAGCUUAAAUUAAGUUAGUCAGCGUCAAGACCGCGUAAGCGGGCUUCACGCUAUAUAAGAAUAACACA
Non-coding RNA from Caloramator quimbayensis, 170 nucleotides. The record is from Rfam. NCBI's taxonomy places the organism in Bacteria, Bacillati, Bacillota, Clostridia, Eubacteriales, Clostridiaceae.